Molecule: unclassified non-coding RNA, 345 nt
Filed under: soil metagenome
Description: partial contains 5.8S ribosomal RNA, internal transcribed spacer 2, and large subunit ribosomal RNA
Rfam family: 5.8S ribosomal RNA (bases 1-120)
Source: RNAcentral
GAUGAAGAACGUAGCGAAAUGCGAUACGUAAUGUGAAUUGCAGAAUUCAGUGAAUCAUCGAGUCUUUGAACGCACAUUGCGCCCCCUGGUAUUCCGGGGGGCAUGCCUGUCCGAGCGUCAUUGCUGCCCUCAAGCACGGCUUGUGUGUUGGUCCUCCGUCCUCCUCCCGGGGGACGGGCCCGAAAGGCAGCGGCGGCACCGCGUCCGGUCCUCGAGCGUAUGGGGCUUCGUCACCCGCUCUUGUAGGCCCGGCCGGCGCUUGCCGACACAUCAAUCUUUUUUCCAGGUUGACCUCGGAUCAGGUAGGGAUACCCGCUGAACUUAAGCAUAUCAAUAAGCGGAGGA